UGCAAACGUGUGCCUGUGUGUGCGAUCAC
This 29-nucleotide non-coding RNA is filed under the name Mus musculus (house mouse). The record is from RNAcentral. Lineage: Eukaryota; Metazoa; Chordata; Mammalia; Rodentia; Muridae.